Molecule: long non-coding RNA, 1159 nt
Organism: Anthonomus grandis grandis
Lineage: Eukaryota; Metazoa; Arthropoda; Insecta; Coleoptera; Curculionidae
Exons: 4
Source: RefSeq, a predicted model, not a curated record
GAACAAUGUUGCACGACGACCGCAAUUCGGAAGAAGCGAUUGUUUCAAAAUGGACGGCUUUUUAACUCAUAAUCCAAUUUUGAAGGUUCAUCAUGUCCGAAAUAAAUAUAAGCGAUUUGGACGAUAUACAACCUGAAACACUCUUCGAUGGGCUGGAUAGUAUAACAGACGAGCAACCAGAGGAUUCGGAUAUUGGAGGUGAUAGCAAUGCAGAUGCUCUUCCAAAUAUUGCUUUUAGCAGAACUAGCAGGCCUAGCAGAUACUCUACUCCUAAUUCUCCUCUAAAAUCUCAACCAAACUAUCUGAAGACAGAAGAAUAGAUGCUGCGCAAAUUCAAACGGAUUUAACUGAGCUUGCGGAUACUAAUUAAGCUACCAACUUAGAUCAUGACUAAGAUUUUGAUUUUAAUUCUGAUGAUUCGGUCAAGGAUACAGACUACGUCGAUCUGUUAGAUAAUGAAAUACUUAUCGGGAUUAGUGAUGGGAAAACAGACACUAAUCCCAAUAAGUUUUUUAGAUAUGAUUUUAGAGAAAAAACUGGAUCAACUUUAAAUAGUACUACUCUGAAAUCUCCUCUAGAAAUUUUUUUGCAAUUGUUGGGGCGUAGACACUCUAGAAAUGAUUGUAGAGCAAUCAAAUUUAUACGCAACACAGUGCUGUAAAAAGCUUGACUUGAAUGUAGAAGAUCUAAAAGUCUUUUUGGGAAUUCUUAUAAUUUUGGGUUUUCACAGCCUGCCUAGCAUGAAACUUUAUUGGUCCACUGACAAAAAUUUUAAAGUUGAUAGAAUUAUAGACUUGAUGACACAAAAAAGAUUUCUUCAAAUAUUAAGAUUUUGUCAUUUGAACGACAACACCCAAAUGCCAAGAAGAGCAGAACCGAAUUACGAUAAAUUGUAUGAAAUAAGACCUUUACUCGAUAUUUUGUGUGACAAUUUUAGAUCCUACAUUCCAAAAGGACAUUGUGCAAUUAAUGAAAGUAUGGUUGCUUUCAGAGGGCGCACAACACUGAAACAAUAUAUGCCAAUGAAACCGAUAAAGCGGGGUUUUAAAGUCUGUGUAAUGGCAUGCUCUACUACUGGGUAUAUGAUUUCCCUUCAAGUCUACCAGGGAAAACAAGAAACACAGACUGAAAAUACUUUAGGUGAACGAGUUGUAAUGGA